Molecule: long non-coding RNA, 419 nt
Filed under: Populus trichocarpa (black cottonwood)
Lineage: Eukaryota; Viridiplantae; Streptophyta; Magnoliopsida; Malpighiales; Salicaceae
Description: long non-coding RNA (PTRI_LNC000069)
Source: RNAcentral
UAGGUUGGGAAUAGGAUUAUUGGGAAGAAAAUUCAUGUUAGGGUGGAGCAUGUGCAGCCGUCGAGGUGCAGGGAGGAGUUUAAGUUGAGGAAGAAGAAGAAUGAUGAGUUGAAGGCUGAGGCCAAAGCUUGUGGUGAAAAGAUUAGCACUAAGAGGCAGCCUCAAGGACCUAAGCCUGGAUUUAUGUUGGAGGGUGCUACUCUUGAAACUGUCACUCCCAUUCCUUAUGAUGUGGUCAAUGAUCUCAAGGGUGGUUAUUGAUUUUUCUUAUUUAUGAUUUCCUAUGCUUUCAGUGUUAUCAAGAAUUUCUCGUGUUUUGUGAGACGUGGAUGAACGUGUACUUUUGUUAUGUGUAAUUUAGCUUAAUACAAAGUAGACUACUAUUAUUUAGCAUUAUCCUUUCGUGUGAGAUAUGUUUG